RNAcentral lists this ribosomal RNA (206 nucleotides) under uncultured bacterium. RNAcentral's name for it is "partial 16S ribosomal RNA". It matches the Rfam family "Bacterial small subunit ribosomal RNA", at positions 568 to 774 of the family's 1533-position model. The record is from RNAcentral.
CGCGUAGGCGGCUUGCCAAGUCAGGGGUGAAAUCCAGCAGCUUAACUGUUGAAGUGCCUUUGAUACUGGCGAGCUCGAGGGAGGUAGGGGUAUGCGGAACUUCUGGUGGAGCGGUGAAAUGCGUUGAUAUCAGAAGGAACGCCGGUGGCGAAAGCGGCGUACUGGACCUCUUCUGACGCUGAGGCGCGAAAGCUAGGGAGCAAACG